This 870-nucleotide ribosomal RNA is filed under the name Staphylococcus gallinarum. RNAcentral's name for it is "bacterial SSU rRNA". It matches the Rfam family "Bacterial small subunit ribosomal RNA", at positions 61 to 911 of the family's 1533-position model. The record is from RNAcentral. Lineage: Bacteria; Bacillati; Bacillota; Bacilli; Caryophanales; Staphylococcaceae.
GUCGAGCGAACAGAUAAGGAGCUUGCUCCUUUGACGUUAGCGGCGGACGGGUGAGUAACACGUGGGUAACCUACCUAUAAGACUGGAAUAACUCCGGGAAACCGGGGCUAAUGCCGGAUAACAUAUAGAACCGCAUGGUUCUAUAGUGAAAGAUGGUUUUGCUAUCACUUAUAGAUGGACCCGCGCCGUAUUAGCUAGUUGGUAAGGUAAUGGCUUACCAAGGCGACGAUACGUAGCCGACCUGAGAGGGUGAUCGGCCACACUGGAACUGAGACACGGUCCAGACUCCUACGGGAGGCAGCAGUAGGGAAUCUUCCGCAAUGGGCGAAAGCCUGACGGAGCAACGCCGCGUGAGUGAUGAAGGGUUUCGGCUCGUAAAACUCUGUUAUUAGGGAAGAACAUAUGUGUAAGUAACUGUGCACAUCUUGACGGUACCUAAUCAGAAAGCCACGGCUAACUACGUGCCAGCAGCCGCGGUAAUACGUAGGUGGCAAGCGUUAUCCGGAAUUAUUGGGCGUAAAGCGCGCGUAGGCGGUUUCUUAAGUCUGAUGUGAAAGCCCACGGCUCAACCGUGGAGGGUCAUUGGAAACUGGGAAACUUGAGUGCAGAAGAGGAAAGUGGAAUUCCAUGUGUAGCGGUGAAAUGCGCAGAGAUAUGGAGGAACACCAGUGGCGAAGGCGACUUUCUGGUCUGUAACUGACGCUGAUGUGCGAAAGCGUGGGGAUCAAACAGGAUUAGAUACCCUGGUAGUCCACGCCGUAAACGAUGAGUGCUAAGUGUUAGGGGGUUUCCCGCCCCUUAGUGCUGCAGCUAACGCAUUAAGCACUCCGCCUGGGGAGUACGACCGCAAGGUUGAAACUCAAAGGAAUU